RNAcentral lists this ribosomal RNA (693 nucleotides) under Triticum aestivum (bread wheat). RNAcentral's name for it is "partial small subunit ribosomal RNA". The record is from RNAcentral. Lineage: Eukaryota; Viridiplantae; Streptophyta; Magnoliopsida; Poales; Poaceae.
AUGCACCGUGCACUCACACAUUCCGAGAUACCAACGAGUAAUAAUAAGAAUAUUUGGAAGUCUAAAAUUCCACUAAAAGUGAAAAUCUUCAUGUGGUAUCUCCAUAGGGGAGUUGUGUUAACCAAAGACAACCCCGCACGGUGCAACUGGCGAGGGAGUAAGAAGUGUUCUUUUUGUACUCAUGACGAGACAAUCAAACACCUCUUUUUCCAAUGCAAGUUUGCACGUUCUAUGUGGUCAGUCAUCCAAAUAGCGUCAAAUUUGUAUCCGUCCACAAGUGUUGCCAAUAUUUUUGGUCAUUGGUUGGACGGUAUUACAAAUAGGUUCAAAACGCUAAUAAGGGUGGGAGCGUAUGCUAGAAAUGAUUUGGUUUUUAAAAUGCUUCUCCUCUACAGGUUAUUUUCCGGUGUACGCACUCGCUACGUACGUGGUCUAUACUACAACGGCCGGAGUACCAACCGCUGUUCAUGGCAGUGUGUACGCGAUUGGAGCAGGUGGCUACGGAGGUUUUUUCCCAACAUGGGUGGCAACAUAACCUACGGAUCGAACCACCACCUUCUUCGACAUAGGCAUAGUGUCGGUCUAAAAGACUCUACUGUUGCCGGUUUGUCGAUUUUUAUUCAUGAUUUUUGUCAGAUUUUUGGAUUUGGCUAUGUGCAUCUUAGUUAUGCAGAGGCUGGGUGUUACUCAUAA